ACGCUGUCACCAUAGCAACAAAAAACCAUUCAGAACAGGCAUGCCGCUGCAACCGAUACAGGAAAUGGAAAGUAAUGAAACCGAAAAUGAUGACUCGUUUUAUAUUCCCCGGUCCGAAACUUCAGAAAGAAAUUACUUUGUUUCAUCUUCAUCUUGGUCUUCACAACUAAUAAAUGUAGAGGCUACAGAGAUUGAAAAAAAAUUAAUCAUGCCCUUUACAAAGAAAGCU
This is a long non-coding RNA of Protobothrops mucrosquamatus (brown spotted pit viper), 229 nucleotides long. RefSeq lists it as uncharacterized. The record is from RefSeq and is a predicted model, not a curated record. NCBI's taxonomy places the organism in Eukaryota, Metazoa, Chordata, Lepidosauria, Squamata, Viperidae. The transcript has 3 exons.